Molecule: ribosomal RNA, 479 nt
Filed under: uncultured bacterium
Lineage: Bacteria
Description: partial 16S ribosomal RNA
Rfam family: Bacterial small subunit ribosomal RNA
Source: RNAcentral
GAUGAACGCUGGCGGCGUGCUUAACACAUGCAAGUCGAGCGAGAAGUUUUGAAAAGAUUCUUCGGAUGAAAUUUAAAAUGGAAAGCGGCGGACGGGUGAGUAACGCGUAGGCAACCUGCCCCAUACAAAGGGAUAGCAUUUGGAAACGAAUAUUAAUACCUUAUGAAACUUAACUAGUGCAUGCUAGGUAGGUCAAAGAUUUAUCGGUAUGGGAUGGGCCUGCGUCCGAUUAGCUAGUUGGUGAGGUAACGGCUCACCAAGGCGACGAUCAGUAGCCGACCUGAGAGGGUGAACGGCCACAUUGGAACUGAGACACGGUCCAAACUCCUACGGGAGGCAGCAGUGGGGAAUAUUGCACAAUGGGGGAAACCCUGAUGCAGCAACGCCGCGUGAACGAUGAAGGCCUUUGGGUCGUAAAGUUCUGUUCUAGGUGAUGAAAACUGACAGUAACCUAGGAGAAAGCCCCGGCUAACUCCGUG